RNAcentral lists this ribosomal RNA (756 nucleotides) under Triticum aestivum (bread wheat). RNAcentral's name for it is "partial small subunit ribosomal RNA". Lineage: Eukaryota; Viridiplantae; Streptophyta; Magnoliopsida; Poales; Poaceae. The record is from RNAcentral.
AUGGCGGCACCCAAUCAGAGGGGUGGCAGCGGCCGGAAGAAGACCGUAAUCCGCCGGAUCGAGCAGCAGGAUGCCCGGCAAGUCUCCUACGCCAAGCGCCGAGUGGGCCUCUUCAACAAGGCCAGCGAGCUGUCUGUGCUCACGGGCGCCCAGCUGGCCGCCCUCGCCUUCCCUCCCGGCGGCAAGGUAUUCUCCUUCGGCCACCCCUCCGUCGACCCCGUCGUAGAACGCUUCCUAGCGGGGGAAGGUCUGGGUGCUUGCCCGAUGGCGCAGGGCGCUGCCAAUGGCCGUUUCCUGGCGGCGGAGGGUGCCGGGGCCGGCGCGGGGGAGGGCGCUGCCGACGAAGACAACGUGAAGAGGCUGGCCCAGCAGCUCGCCGAGAUGCGCACGGAGCUGAGGGAGGUGAAGAAGCAGACGAAGCGCAUCGACAAGGCCAUGGCUAAGGAGCGCGCCGCGGGGGACCAGAUUGCGGCGUGGGUCGACCCGAAGGCGCGCGACAUGGGGGACGAGGACAUGGCGGCCUUCUUUGCCACGCUUCUGAAGGUAAAGACCGACGUCUCCGACCGGGGAUGGAGACAGAGUUACAGCAAUGGCUUAUGGCGAUGCCGCCACCGGAGUUCCCUGCCGGGUUGGAGAUGGCGCAGCAGGUGCUUGAGCCGAACGCCGAAGAAGAGGAGAUCUAAACCCGUGUCCAUCGGUUCCAGUAAAAUCAUUCAUGCAUGGACGAUAGUUCCUCAAUCUGUUUGUCGUCAGUAG